Molecule: ribosomal RNA, 489 nt
Filed under: uncultured bacterium
Lineage: Bacteria
Description: bacterial SSU rRNA
Rfam family: Bacterial small subunit ribosomal RNA
Source: RNAcentral
AUGGCUCAGAACGAACGCUGGUGGCGUGUCUUAUACAUGCAAGUCGAGCGAGGCAGCAAUGCCGAGCGGCGAACGGGUGAGUAACGCGUAAGCAAUCUGCCCCAUAUCAGGAAAUACCCGUGCCAACGCGCGGUUAAUGUCCAGGAGAGUGGCUCCCCGCAUGGGGAGUUGACUAGAGAUUUAUCGGUAUGGGAUGAGCUUGCGUCCGAUUAGCUAGUUGGCGGGGCAACGGCCCACCAAGGCGACGAUCGGUAGCCGGCCUGAGAGGGUGAUCGGCCACAUUGGGACUGAGAUACGGCCCAGACUCCUACGGGAGGCAGCAGUAGGGAAUAUUGCACAAUGGGGGGAACCCUGAUGCAGCAACGCCAACCGUGUGGGAAGAAGCAUUUCGGUGUGUAAACCACUGUCGUGAGGGAAUAAGGCCCAGUUUCGGCUGGGAUUGAAUGUACCUCGAAAGGAAGCACCGGCAAACUUCGUGCCAGCAGCCGC